GACGAACGCUGGCGGCGUGCCUAAUACAUGCAAGUCGAGCGGACUUAUGCCUUCGGGGAUAAGUUAGCGGCGGACGGGUGAGUAACACGUAGGCAACCUGCCUGUAAGAUCGGGAUAACUAUCGGAAACGAUAGCUAAGACCGAAUAAUUGGUUCCGGCGCAUGUUGGAAUCAUGAAACACGGAGCAAUCUGUGGCUUAUAGAUGGGCCUGCGGCGCAUUAGCUAGUAGGUGAGGUAAUGGCUCACCUAGGCGACGAUGCGUAGCCGACCUGAGAGGGUGAACGGCCACACUGGGACUGAGACACGGCCCAGACUCCUACGGGAGGCAG
RNAcentral lists this ribosomal RNA (329 nucleotides) under uncultured Bacillota bacterium. RNAcentral describes it as "bacterial SSU rRNA". It matches the Rfam family "Bacterial small subunit ribosomal RNA", at positions 28 to 351 of the family's 1533-position model. Lineage: Bacteria; Bacillati; Bacillota. The record is from RNAcentral.